UUGUGCUGAGAACAAAGGUAUUACCCAUGAUGCAGUAAGAUCAUACUUUCGCCACACACUUGAUUUGACAUCCUUAAAGAAUGGUCGGAAGGUCUUUCUUUGGACCGUAAUGUAAGCUUUUGGAUAGGGUUAGAAAUAAAGGGUGGCAUGAAAGCUAAAAUUAAUAUAAGAUGAAAGGGUUCAAAAUUACAACUUUUGGAAUCACAUCUUUUGGCCAAAUUAAAAAUUUUGCCCCAGUUUCUUGGAGUCUGGGAUUUUUUUUUUAAUUUUUGCUUUAAUGAGAUUUCUAGGAAAAAUUGCCUCGCUCUUGACUUCGGGGAUUAUAAAAUAUUUUAUUUGGUGUGACCGUCUUGAAACACGGACCAAGGAGUCUGACAUAUGUGUGAGUCAACGGGCGAGUAAACUCGUAAGGCGUAAGGAAGCUGAUUGGUAGGAUUCCCCUGAGGGGUGCACCCCCGACCGACCUUGAUCUUCGGUGAAGGGUUCGAGUUUGAGCAUACCUGUCGGGACCCGAAAGAUGGUGAACUAUGCCUGAGCGGGGAAAAGCCAGAGGAAACUCUGGUGUAGGCUCACAGCGAUACUGACGUGCAAAUCGUUCGUCUGACUUGGGUAUAGGGGAGAAAGACUAAUCGAACCGUCUAGUAGUUGGUUCCCUCCGAAAAUUCCCUCAGGAUAGCUGAGCACGCAUGCGAGUUCUAUCAGGUAAAGCAAAUGAUUAGAGUCUUCGGGGGCGCAACGCCCUCGACCUAUUCUCAAACUUUAAACAGGUAGGACGGCGCGACUGCUUUGUUGAGCCGUGCCAUGGAAUCAAGAGCUCAUAGUGGGCCAUUUUUGGUAAGCAGAACUGGCGAUGCAGGAUGAACCGGAAGCCGAGUUACGGUGCCAAACUAUGCGGUAACCUAGAUCCCACAAAGGGUGUUGGUCAAUUAAGACAGCAAAACGGUGGACAUGGAAGUCGAAAUCCGCUAAGGAGUGUGUAACAACUCACCUGCCGAAUCAACUAGCCCCGAAAAUGGAUGGCGCUUAAGCGCGCGACCUACACCCGGCCGUCGGGGCAAGUGCCAGGCCCCGAUGAGUAGGAGGGCGAAGCGGUUGCUGCAAAACCUUGGGUGUGAGCCUAGGUGGAGUGGUCGUCGGUGCAGAUCUUGGUGGUAGUAACAAAUAUUCAAAUGCAAACUUUGAAGGCAGAAGAGGGGAAAAGUUCCAUGUGAACGACACUUGCACAUGGGUUAGUCGAUCCUAAGGGUCGGGGGAACCAUGAUAGAUAGUGAAUUUCACGCGUACUCCGAAAGGGAAUCGGGUUAAAAUUCCUGAACCAGGACGUGGAAAUUGACGACAACGUUAGGAAGUCCGGAGACGUUAGUGGGGGCCUCGGGAAGCGUUGUCUUUUUUGUUUAACAUCCUGCCCACCUUGGAAACGACUUAGGAGGUAGGGUCCAGCGACUGGAAGAGCACCGUACGUUGCGUGGUGUCCGGUGCGCCCCCGACGGCCCUUGAAAAUCUAGAGGACCGAAUGUCGUCCAUGCUCGGUCAUACUCAUAACCGCAUCAGGUCUCUAAGGUGAACAGUCUCUGGUUGAUGGAACAAUGUAGGCAAGGGAAGUCGGCAAAACGGAUCCAAAACUUCGGGAAAAAGGAUUGGCUCUAAGGGCUAGGCACGGGGGUCCCAGUCCCGAACCCAUCGACUGUCAGUGGACUGCUCGAGCUGCUCCUGCGGCAAUAGCAGGUCACCGUGUGCCGUCCGAGGGAUAGACUGGGAACUGUUCCUUGGGGGGCUAUCCCCGGGCAUCGAAUAACCGAUAAGAGAUAUCUUAUCGAUUUGGCUAUCGGGUUAUCAUAUUUGUAAAUCAAUAACCGAUACGCAAAACCGAUAACAUUCACAACCGAACUGAAUUGACCGAUGCCCACCCCUACAUCCUAUCAUUGUGAAGAAGAAUUCACCAAGUGUUGGAUUGUUCACCCACUAAUGGGGAACAUGAGCUGGGUUUAGACCGUUAUGAGACAAGUUAGUUUUACCCUACUGAUGACAGUGUCGUAAUAGUAAUUCAACAUAGUACGAUAGGAACCAUUGAUUCGCACAAUCGGUCAUCGUGCUUGGUUGAAAAGCCAGUGGCGCGAACCUACCAUGCGCUGGAUUAUGACUGAAUGCCUAUAAGUCAGAAUCCGAGCUAGAAGCGACGCAUGCACCCGCCUUCCACUUGCCAACCCGCAGUAGGGGCCUUUGGCCCCCAAGGGCACGUGUCGUUGGCUAAGUCAUCGCGGCGGAAGAGCCGCGGUGGCCGCCUUGAAGUACAAUUUCCAUCGAGCGGUGGGUAGAAUCCUUUGCAGAUGACUUAAAUACGCGAUGGGGUAUUGUAAGUGGCAGAGUGGCCUUGCUUCCACGAUCCACGGGUUUACUCACCCAUUGACUCGCACACAUGUCUGCCUACGUAUCUUGAGGUGACAAGAAUCAGGUCGAACGUAGUUCAAACACAAAGUUGGUUUCUUUUCCUUUUUUUCCUUCUUUCUUUUUUCUUUUCUAGUUCCUAACUCUACUUCUGAUUCCAAAAGUGGGGUAUGGAACAAAACAAAUUAAGGCUCAAAAGGGGUAGCAAAAGAUAAAAGUGUUUGGGUAGCAGAAUAAAAUUCCUUCGUCAUACCAAACUUUACAAAUGCCAAGUACAAACGUGUAAUUGAAGAUACACAAAGAAAUCAUGCACAAUAUCUAUU
RNAcentral lists this ribosomal RNA (2708 nucleotides) under Nicotiana sylvestris (wood tobacco). RNAcentral's name for it is "eukaryotic LSU rRNA". The stretch from base 1 to 2412 matches the Rfam family "Eukaryotic large subunit ribosomal RNA", at positions 439 to 3401 of the family's 3401-position model. The record is from RNAcentral. Lineage: Eukaryota; Viridiplantae; Streptophyta; Magnoliopsida; Solanales; Solanaceae.